Long non-coding RNA from Apus apus (common swift), 356 nucleotides. RefSeq lists it as uncharacterized. NCBI's taxonomy places the organism in Eukaryota, Metazoa, Chordata, Aves, Apodiformes, Apodidae. The record is from RefSeq and is a predicted model, not a curated record. The transcript has 4 exons.
AAACUGGGGAGUCUGAUCUUCCCUAACAAACAGAUGCCAACCUUCUCCAUAUGCUACACAAACAGUUUCAUAUGUAUGCAGCUCAGUGGUUCUGAGAACCUGAAUGUGUGAUGUUACAAGAGAAAAUGAAAAGAUUGAAAGAAUAAAACUGCCAAAUGUCAAACUUACAAGGACCUGCUGAUAUUCAGGACAAAAUCCAAAUUCAGAAUUUUACAGAAUAUACUGUGGAUGGAAGCAAGACCUGUCCUCAAAGGAAUGUUUUCUUCAAGAAAAGUUGCCCAUUCUGAGCAUUUUCCAGUUCUUCUGGUGUUUUAUCUCCUGGUUUCUGAGACUGCUACACACUGCUUAAGACAGGG